GAUGAACGCUGGCGGCGUGCCUAAUACAUGCAAGUCGAGCGAACAGACGAGGAGCUUGCUCCUCUGACGUUAGCGGCGGACGGGUGAGUAAAACGUGGAUAACCUACCUAUAAGACUGGAAUAACUUCGGGAAACCGGAGCUAAUACCGGAUAAUAUAUUGAACCGCAUGGUUCAAUAGUGAAAGACGGUUUUGCUGUCACUUAUAGAUGGAUCUGCGCCGCAUUAGCUAGUUGGUAAGGUAACGGCUUACCAAGGCAACGAUGCGUAGCCGACCUGAGAGGGUGACCGGCCACAAUGGAACUGAGACACGGUCCAGACUCCCACGGGAGGCAGCAGUAGGGAAUCUUCCGCAAUGGGCGAAAGCCUGACGGAGCAACGCCGCGUGAGUGAUGAAGGUCUUCGGAUCGUAAAACUCUGUUAUUAGGGAAGAACAAAUGUGUAAGUAACUAUGCACGUCUUGACGGUACCUAAUCAGAAAGCCACGGCUAACUACGUG
This 497-nucleotide ribosomal RNA is filed under the name uncultured bacterium. RNAcentral's name for it is "partial 16S ribosomal RNA". It matches the Rfam family "Bacterial small subunit ribosomal RNA", at positions 28 to 507 of the family's 1533-position model. The record is from RNAcentral.